RNAcentral lists this ribosomal RNA (204 nucleotides) under Triticum aestivum (bread wheat). RNAcentral's name for it is "partial small subunit ribosomal RNA". Lineage: Eukaryota; Viridiplantae; Streptophyta; Magnoliopsida; Poales; Poaceae. The record is from RNAcentral.
AUGUUCCAGGAGCUUGCACCACAUGACCCACAUGACAAGUGUGGUCACCACUACGUGAUUUGCCUUGACCUGAAGAACCAACGAUUUGAGGUGCUUGAUUCAAUGCAUUCCGAAGGUGAUGCAGAUCUUACUAUACAUGUUGAAUUCUUCAUCAACAACCUCAAAGAGACAUGGACCCGUCACUAUGAAAACUCAAAGGUCUAG